This 254-nucleotide ribosomal RNA is filed under the name uncultured bacterium. RNAcentral's name for it is "partial 16S ribosomal RNA". It matches the Rfam family "Bacterial small subunit ribosomal RNA", at positions 524 to 776 of the family's 1533-position model. The record is from RNAcentral.
UACGUAGGGGGCAAGCGUUACCCGGAUUUACUGGGCGUAAAGCGCGUGUAGGCGGGACGGCACGUCUGUCGCUGAAAUCCCCCGGCUUAACCGGGGAACUGGCGUAGAUACGACCGUCCUGGAGGGGCGUAGGGGGACCUGGAACUUCCGGUGGAGCGGUGAAAUGCGUUGAGAUCGGAAGGAACGCCCGUGGCGAAAGCGAGGUCCUGGACGCCUACUGACGCUGAGACGCGAAAGCCAGGGGAGCGAACGGG